CAGGUGCUUUCUACCUCUCUGCUCUGCUGUGCUUGGCGUUGGCUUCACCUGAGGGUUGAAGGUUCUUUCCUUGGAUGAGAGAUAACUGAACCACCCCUGUGGACCCAGGAACAGGGUCUGUGUCCCUUGAAGCACGUGACAGCAGAGGACGGGAGGCUCCACCUGAACAUGACCAGGGGUCUCCUGGGGAGGAAAAAUGGAGAUGGAAGCUGCAGAGGAAACGAACAGCUGCCCCCACACAUGCCGUACAAGGCCUGCAUGGGAUGAUGUACGUAGAGCUGCAUUUAAUGUAUACUAAAAAUCACUGGGCCGUGUUGCUAACUUCUGUUAGCAGAGAAUGCAGAAAGGCUGUGGGAGCCUUUCAUUGCCAGCUCUACGUGACCCUUCCCCUUAUGAUCAACACCAGACCAGGGAUUUAACUACAAGGCCCUGCCUUACCCAGCUCUUUUUGUCCCCACUUUGCAAAGUUCCUAAAAUGUACCAGAUUUCUUUCUUCUUCAUGGUCUUAUAUGCUGAUCCCUCUGCGGAAAACAGUCUCUGUAUUUGUUGCCUUUUCUUACGUAGGUUUCACUUCAUGUCAUUCCUUAAAGAGCACUUCCCUGUCCUCCUAAACUGAAUUAGGUGCCCCCUCCCUGGCUUGUGUCCCUAUUGGGAUCUAGUUCCAGAUUGUAAUUAUGUUUCUAUUAUGUUCAUGUGUAGCUCUGUGGUAUGGGGGCCACAUUUGUUCUGCUCACUAGUGAAUCCUCAGAGCCUGGCACAUGGCAAUGCUCAAGACAUUUGAUGAAUGAAUUAGCUAUUUCAUGCACUUCUUCGUCUAACUCUCAUGCCUAUUGUCUUUUUUAAGCAUGUGAGACAUCUUUGGAGGUUAUUGAAUGUAAAGAUUUCUACAAAACAGUACCCAUUCCAAAAGAUUAAUGAUGUUUAAUAAACCUAAAUAAUAAGGAAUGCUUGGAAAGCUCAUAAAGUAACAGCAAUGGAACAGGGAGAUUUUUUAAAUCAUAUUUAAGUAAUUUAUUGCUUUGCAUCAGUUACCCUUACACAGAUAAAGCCAAGACUAGAGCAAAUUGGUGAACUAGUUAGUUCAACACUGUCUUUGCCCCAGCCCCUAUCUCACUAGCUAAUUACAUUAGCAGACAUAUAUCAAAUGUUUCCUCUGUGCUGCCCAUUGUGCUGGACUGUGAGAUUUGGCCCUGAUUUCAGUCCGGAUUCUAGUAGGGCUUCCAGCACCUCCUUCUCCCUUUGGGGCUUCCCUCAAUUCCAUUCAACAAAUAUUUAUUGAACUCAUAGUUGGGUGAAAGAAAUGAUGAAUGAGUAAAUCCGUAGCAAUACUUCAUGUUACUACUCACGAUGAUGGCUGUGAGGUGUUAACAAUAUUUUGAAUCAUGCAAGUUUUCAUUAGGGCCAUUCUAUCUAUUAAGGCAAGAACUGAACAAAUACAUCUAAGAAUGGGUUUCUACUAGAAAGAUUGCAACAAAUAAGUUUUUCUGAUUAGCCCUCAGAUAAUUCAAUUAACUUCUAUUACCAGAACGUUCAAGUCUGCUUUGCUAGCCUAUGAGUUUCCAUACAGGAGGGGCUGAAGGGCUGGCAAUCUGUUAGGAAGGCAAGCUGGAGUUUUGUCUUGAAGUCAUGUUUACACAGCAAGUAUGCUGUUUCUGCUUGGAUUCCAUGGCUAUUUGGCAUAGCUAAAGGUGGCUAUUGGAAAUCAUGGGGAAAUUAAAUCUUUGCCCCCUCUCAAUCAUUUAUUGGCGCUACCACUGAUCCUAGCUAACUGAAGCAUAAUUACAUUUUGUUUGUUUGUCAGACUUUCAGACUGCUCAGGCUUCAAAAUCCACAAGAUUUCAAAAAGAAAAUUUCAAAGGGAGAAAGAAGCCAUAGUCUGCUCUGAUAACUUGUUUAUCAAUUUAUUUUUCAAUUUCCCUGUCCUCUUCUCUCAGAGGGAAACAUGAGUGAGAACCUGACUCGCAACCCCUAUGAGAUAGAGAAUAUUUGCCUUUUUUUUUGGUUGAUUGCUGGGCUUGAAAAGAAAAAAAAAGACAGAAAAUAAAAAAGGUUAGAAGUCGGGCAUGAUGGCUUACGCCUAUAAUCCUAACACUUUGGGAGGCCAAGGCAGGCAGAUCACUUGAGCCCAGGAGUUCAAGACCAGUCUGGGUAACAUGGCGAAACUUCGUCUCUACAAAAAAUACAAAAAUUAACCAAGUGCAGUGGUGCAUGCCUGUAGUCCCAGCUACUUGGGAGGCUAAGGCAGGAGGAUCGCUUGAGCCUAGGAUAUUGAGGCCUCAGUGAGCCGUAAUUGAGCCACUGCACUCCAGCCUGGG
RNAcentral lists this long non-coding RNA (2315 nucleotides) under Homo sapiens (human). RNAcentral's name for it is "PREDICTED lncRNA (TCONS_00023234)". The record is from RNAcentral. Lineage: Eukaryota; Metazoa; Chordata; Mammalia; Primates; Hominidae.